This 287-nucleotide long non-coding RNA is filed under the name Gossypium raimondii (Peruvian cotton). RNAcentral describes it as "long non-coding RNA (GRAI_LNC009173)". Lineage: Eukaryota; Viridiplantae; Streptophyta; Magnoliopsida; Malvales; Malvaceae. The record is from RNAcentral.
UCAACCCUUGAUUCCAACUAUUGAAAUAAUAUGUUAAUACAAAAUUUUAAAAAUUUUAUUGUAAUAGGCCUAUUUUUCCUAAACCCAAUUAGAAUACAAAGACCAAAAUAAAAUAAAUGCCUAGUCCAGUUUUUUUUACAAACCCAAUUAAUAAACCCAAAUUACAUCAGCAGGCCCAAUACCCAAACAACCCAAACAGCCCAACUAACCUAACUAAACCCUAGCCCAAAAAGAAACAAAAAAAAGAAAAGCAAGAAACCCUAAAGAAAUCAGCAGCCAUCGCCCCC